This 305-nucleotide ribosomal RNA is filed under the name uncultured bacterium. RNAcentral's name for it is "bacterial SSU rRNA". It matches the Rfam family "Bacterial small subunit ribosomal RNA", at positions 338 to 660 of the family's 1533-position model. The record is from RNAcentral.
CCUACGGGAGGCAGCAGUGGGGGAUAUUGCACAAUGGGGGAAACCCUGAUGCAGCGACGCCGCGUGGGUGAAGAAGCGCCUCGGCGCGUAAAGCCCUGUCAGCAGGGAAGAAAAUGACGGUACCUGAAGAAGAAGCCCCGGCUAACUACGUGCCAGCAGCCGUGGUAAUACGUAGGGGGCAAGCGUUAUCCGGAUUUACUGGGUGUAAAGGGGGCGCAGACGGCGAUGCAAGCCAGGAGUGAAAGCCCGGGGUCCAACCCCGGGACUGCUCUUGGAGCUGCGUGGCUAGAGUGCAGGAGGGGCAG